GGUAGUUUAAUUAGAAGAUUCCGGUUUUGGGGACCGGAGAUGAAGGUUUGAAUCCUUCUCUUUUGA
RNAcentral lists this transfer RNA (66 nucleotides) under Lepidochelys kempii (Atlantic ridley). RNAcentral's name for it is "tRNA-Pro". It matches the Rfam family "tRNA". Rfam says of the family: Transfer RNA (tRNA) molecules are approximately 80 nucleotides in length. Their secondary structure includes four short double-helical elements and three loops (D, anti-codon, and T loops). Further hydrogen bonds mediate the characteristic L-shaped molecular structure. tRNAs have two regions of fundamental functional importance: the anti-codon, which is responsible for specific mRNA codon recognition, and the 3' end, to which the tRNAs corresponding amino acid is attached (by aminoacyl-tRNA synthetases). tRNAs cope with the degeneracy of the genetic code in two manners: having more than one tRNA (with a specific anti-codon) for a particular amino acid; and 'wobble' base-pairing, i.e. permitting non-standard base-pairing at the 3rd anti-codon position. Lineage: Eukaryota; Metazoa; Chordata; Testudines; Cheloniidae. The record is from RNAcentral.